ACUGUCGUCGAGACGUCUGUUAGUGUGUAUGAGUUUUUUGGGAAAUUUCCUGUAGAGUUUUGGUGUUUUCAGUUUAUUUUCACAGAGCCCAAUGUGCGGUGGAUAACAAGACAGAAACGAAUGACAUGUGAAACGAUAUCAUCCCAUUUGGUCAUCACGGAAAGUUGCCGGCGCGGGUAUGACCAAUGUGAUGUGUAUGUUUUCAAUUACAUUAAUUAAUUAGUAAAGAUCAAUCUCAAGAGAUAGUAUUUUCGUUUUUCGCGGCUUUCCUUUGCUCCAUUCAUUAUAAUGUUUGAAUUAUUCCUUGUAAUAUAAGAACUGUAUAUUGGAUCGGUCUUACACUAUAAAAACUAACGUACAUCAUAUAUCUUAGUGUUAGGUCAUAAUUCAACAACGUUGCCAGAUUUUAAAAGUGAAUUAAUGAAUAAUGUUGCAAUUGUUUUUUCUGAAUAUAUAUUGGCCUAAAGAUUUCAGAUCUGGAUUGUUUUUUACAGGCUACAUAAUUUUUUUAAAUGAGUAUUAUAUUGUAAUUUCAAAUUAAAUUUUAUUUACAUAACAAUCUAAUGAAAUUUUAUUUUAUUUGGCAGUAUAUUCCAAUUAUGAAAUGUAGACAGAAGAAGAACAAUCUGUGUAUGAAAAAUGUCCGUCGAAAUAUGUAAAAUAAAGGUGGCGCCACAUUAGCAUCAGGAUAAAUUUCUUUUAGGUUAUAUUCUCUACAUUAUUUUGUACAAUUCCUUUUGAAAUUCUCGUGGAUAAACUAUGAUAUUAAAUUCAUUAAUUCGGCAUACUUCAAUUAAUUUACAAUUGCUGUAUUCAUACCAAAUCAUACAUCAGCGCUAUUCUGGAAGGUAUUAAGACAUUCUACCUGAAUGAAAGUGUUAAAAAUAAGAUUAGUCUUCAUUAACAUUAACAUUCAGUCUUCAUUAAUAAUAAACAAUAACAAUGAUAAGAUCAUUUGAUAGAAAUACAAAAAGAAUAUUCUAUUUAUAUAUUUUUAUAAAGACUUAAAGAAAAGUCGAAAGUCCAUUGUAUUUAUCUUUCAAAAAUUAUUUAAAAAAACUAAUUUUGAAACAGAAGUAAUAAGAAAUUAAAGAUAUUUAUACAAAACUUAACAGAAUGAAAGAUAUAUUUAUACUAAAGUCUGAUUGCUUCAAUUCAUAAAUUAGGUUUCCUUUGACCUAAUUCUAUAAUCUUUUGUCAUAAUUGUCACAAAUUUGUCAUAUUAAUGUAUAUGGCGGCAUAUAUUUUGAAAUUUUAAGGAAUACGAGUGAAAAAUAAUCGAUUAUUUUCGAUUGCUCGAGGAGUAUUCUUUACGAUUAUAUGAUGAAUGAUGAUAUUACCAAGAAUAUAAAUUAUCUAUCCACCGUAAUUUCAUCACGAAAUAUAUAAUCAAUUUAAAACAAUUAUUCCAAAACGUUUCUAGUUUUACUAAAACUAAUACUAUUUUAUUUACCUAAUUAGAUGUUAUAUUUGUUCAAUAUGGGUCAAAAUCUACAAACUAUUAUGCCAAAAAAUUAUCGUCAAUAUUUUUGAGGAAUAAUAUCACUAAAUUCCGGAUUUGCUUGAGUUUUGAAUGAUGCUAGCUCUGGUUAAUAGAGGAAAUUAAUACAAACAGAAAUCCACUCCCAACAUCUCUUCUGAUAAGUUCGGCAGUAGGUAUUCUCUUCUUCUCCUGCUCCUUCUUACUUUAAUAGGUACAGUGGAAGGUCCCGGAUAUCCUAUAAAAGCCAUUAAACAGUAUAUCCGUUGGCUAAAGCUAUCCCUCCACGAAAUCCUUCCAAUCCUCAGAUUUAUAAGACCUCUAAUAAAUAAUCACUUUUAUUUUUUGUUUUUUCUCCUAUUUGUCUUUACUGCUAGUUUUAGUACUCGUCUUUGGAUACCUAGCGUGGUAUUUUCUAAUUUUGUACGUCGACUUCCUCAGUCGGUUUUUCAGGUCUUCAAAUCUGGAGGUUUUCUUCAAGAUAUCUCCUAUCUUCUUUCGGUCCUCAUGUACCAAGGGGCAUUCACUGCUUGUUAUUUUGCUGGGCUUGGAGAUUUCUUUGGAGGCAUGUGGAUAAGUCUCGUCUUCCAAUGAGUCCUACUAGUCUUGCUAUUCCAUUUUUCGUCUUGUUCACUAGAAAGUAAGCGCUAGAGAUGGAAGGACAAGGAACUUAUUGUGAUCAUUUAGGCACGCACAAAUGAGUUAUGUAUACGAUUUAUUGUAAUCAUUAUCAAAAAUUACGAAUAAAGCAAUAUUCGCAAUCAAUUUGGGGUCAAUACAAAUUUCUCGUAUUUCCUCGUGUUUUACGAAAACAUAAAAUACUGCCAGUAAAUUUUAUUUCGUAUUUAUUAAGAAAAUAUACUAACAACAACAUAUUUUUCGAUUAAACUAAAAACACCCUGUGAAUAACGAAUAAUAAAGAUAAGCCCUGUCCCAAUCCGAAUAUCUGUGUAAAGGGCGGCACCUUUAUGAACUAGAUAAGUAACUGUAAAGCACUAGGUGAUCCAUUGUAGUUAUUAUGUUGAAAGUAAUUGCUAGUUUUGGUAUACAACCACACACCGCCCCUAAGUGCAUCCCUUAUGAAGUUAUUACUAUUCUUUUGCGGCAUGAACGAGUGUACGUUUCAUCUUUGUUUUCGAUGGUUUUAUUUGUUUGGGCCGAGAAGAGGAAGAUGUUUUAUAGAUCAAUAGGUAACGACUUUGUAGGUAUUCAGAUGCCAGGUGAUAGACGUGUUGGUAUUUAUAAGGGUGAAUAGAUAUAUGUGUUUUUAAAAAUGUCAAAAAAUAGUAUGGAAUAUAACGUAUAAAUAACUCUUGAUAGAGUAGAACAGAAUUUACAAAAAUAAUCUUAUAUAAUCUCUAAUAAACGAUUUUAUUAAAUGUUAUAAAUAUUGUAAAUUCGGCCAAGAAGUUUCACAGGUUAGAUUAGGUUUCAAUUCGUAGAAUCGGUCGCUUGGUUUUAUGCUGUAUAAAUAAUUUGUUAAUUACAUUAUGUACACAAUGUUUAGUUUCUGUAUGUUAUUUUCAAACUCUUUAAUUUUCUUUGUAUAUGUAUGAAUUUGUACAUUUCUGAAAAUAUAUGUUUUUUUUUGGUUUUGAAACAGUACCCCAAAAUCUGGCCGAUUUUACAUGGACAAAUAUUGCAUCCCAAAUUUAUCUUACUACACAAAAAAAUUAUCUAUCUGGCUGAAUUUACCACUGCUCUUUUUGCUUCUUUUUGUGCCUAUGUUUGCGUCCCAUACUCUUCACUUGAAUCUCCUAUUCUUUAUAAAUAAUCCCACUAAAUUAACUGUCUCUGCCCAAUGAAUUCCAUAAGUAACAUCCAGACCUUUGCGUAUUUGGAACCAAAAAUAUUCAAUCUGUGCAACUUGCAACGCACUUAUUUGUCUACCAAUGAGAAUUCAUGUUUCACAGUCUUUAAGUCAAUGUUUUAUCAACAUUUAGGUUCGUUUUUCUUGAGACUUCUUUUCUAUUGAUCAAGUUUAUGCUGUGAUUUGUUUCAAGACGUUUUUAAUUCUCUUAUUAAUCUGUAUGUCUGCAUUGCUUGUGUUUUCUGCUUCUAUUCCAAGGUAUUUAAAUGUGCU
Diorhabda sublineata is the source of this 3563-nucleotide long non-coding RNA. RefSeq lists it as uncharacterized. The transcript is spliced from 2 exons. NCBI's taxonomy places the organism in Eukaryota, Metazoa, Arthropoda, Insecta, Coleoptera, Chrysomelidae. The record is from RefSeq and is a predicted model, not a curated record.